CUACAAGCUUCAGUGUUAACGAGGGAUUGAGAGACGACCGUCGUCGGAAACAGUGAGCGGGCGACGGACGUCGACACGGGGGAAGCCGCAUUCCCGUUACGUCAUCAUGGAGGGCUCGUCACAAUCUCCGUUCGUGAUUGACGCUGUGAAGGGAGAGAUGCGCACGGCAGUGGCGCUAGACUACGAGACGCAGAGAGAGCACGUCGUCAUGGUUAACCGCGCCGUCGACAGGCGCUGGUAGUCGCAGGCGAGGUCGGUGCACGUGCCCG
Long non-coding RNA from Priapulus caudatus, 269 nucleotides. RefSeq lists it as uncharacterized. NCBI's taxonomy places the organism in Eukaryota, Metazoa, Priapulida, Priapulimorpha, Priapulimorphida, Priapulidae. The record is from RefSeq and is a predicted model, not a curated record. The transcript is spliced from 3 exons.